Molecule: ribosomal RNA, 253 nt
Filed under: uncultured bacterium
Lineage: Bacteria
Description: partial 16S ribosomal RNA
Rfam family: Bacterial small subunit ribosomal RNA
Source: RNAcentral
UACGAAGGGGGCUAGCGUUGCUCGGAAUCACUGGGCGUAAAGGGUGCGUAGGCGGGUCUUUAAGUCAGGGGUGAAAUCCUGGAGCUCAACUCCAGAACUGCCCUUGAUACUGAAGAUCUUGAGUUCGGGAGAGGUGAGUGGAACUGCGAGUGUAGAGGUGAAAUUCGUAGAUAUUCGCAAGAACACCAGUGGCGAAGGCGGCUCACUGGCCCGAUACUGACGCUGAGGCGCGAAAGCGUGGGGAGCAAACAGG